Molecule: unclassified non-coding RNA, 84 nt
Filed under: Parafilimonas terrae
Lineage: Bacteria; Pseudomonadati; Bacteroidota; Chitinophagia; Chitinophagales; Chitinophagaceae
Description: Flavo-1 RNA
Source: RNAcentral
AUUUUGCUGACGGGCUGCCGGACAGCAGCGGAAAGCCCGCAGCGACGAAGGAGCGAGGACUUGAAGCGGAUGGCCGGAACAAAA